GCCCCUUCCAGACCGUCACCUGGGCCGGGUCCCGGGGCGACUCGCGUGCGGGCGGCGGCGGCGCCGGGCCGGGAGAGGCGGCGGUGGCUACGGGCGCCUGGUCAUCCGACCUGGUUCGAGGGCGGGCGCCAGCCAGAGCCGCGGCGCGAGAUGCUCGCGGGAGCCGGGACGUCGCGGGCUCCGGGCCGCUUGAAGGAGCAGUCGCCGAGGCUUCGCCGCCGCCGCCGCCGCCGCCGCCGCGCCCGCCCGGACUGCGGGCUCCGGUUACCGCAGCGCGGCUCCUUAAAGGGGCCGCGGCCGCUCGAGCUCCGGCUCGCGUUCGCGGCUCCGACCCUGGCCAAAGUGGGCGGGGCCCACCUCCGGGCGCCGAAUUUAGGUCCGGGGCAGGGCUCGAAACCCCGGCACCCGAAGUGGGCUGCGAUAGGAUCCUGGAAGAUCACACGUCGCCGGGGGCACAGCACGUGGCUCCUGAUCUUUCCAAAGCAAGACACACAACUCGGGAGUGGGGAGAAGUGGCUUGCAAGUGCUUCCCAAACUGGGUAGGAGGUGUGUCCGGUUCAAGCAGCCUCCUCCGGAACCGCUGAAAAACACCCUAAAGGAUGCCCUCCGGAACCCCUCUGCUUUCGGGUGUGGAAGUAGAAUUUGAAUUUUUGAUGCUGGCUGAGAAUAUCAAGUUGCCCCGUGCAUAAAUUUUGCCAUUAAGUAGAUCUUCUGAGGUGUAUAUAGCCUCAAAACUUCCAAGUGUUCUGGAUCAACCAGACAGAACUGGUUGGAAUAAAACAAAAUGAUGAAAUAUAUUUAGGCUGUAAUUUUAUAAUUUGUAAUUGUAAGGAUCUUUUUGAAAAGAGGUACGUUCUAAAAAGAAUUUCUAGGGCCGGGGAUUUAGGUCAGUGGUUUCACCACCCGCUGCACAAGUGCAAGGACCCGAGUUUGAUCCCCGGUAUCAAAAAAAAAAAAAAAAUUAAAAAAUUGAAAACGUAGGAAAGUUAUUUAUAAGAAAUAGCUAUCAAGAGAGCUAACAUAUGUGACCAGUAUUUACAUGCAUGCACACACACACACACACACACAUUUAUCUGCUGCAGAUCUAGGCCAGAAAACGUGCACACACACAACAUCACACACCCUAUC
Molecule: long non-coding RNA, 1128 nt
Filed under: Heterocephalus glaber (naked mole-rat)
Lineage: Eukaryota; Metazoa; Chordata; Mammalia; Rodentia; Bathyergidae
Description: lncRNA (ENSHGLG00100051450.1)
Source: RNAcentral